This 555-nucleotide ribosomal RNA is filed under the name uncultured Actinomycetes bacterium. RNAcentral's name for it is "bacterial SSU rRNA". It matches the Rfam family "Bacterial small subunit ribosomal RNA", at positions 495 to 1050 of the family's 1533-position model. The record is from RNAcentral. Lineage: Bacteria; Bacillati; Actinomycetota; Actinomycetes.
GGCUAACUACGUGCCAGCAGCCGCGGUGAUACGUAGGGUCCGAGCGUUGUCCGGAAUUAUUGGGCGUAAAGGGCUUGUAGGCGGUCCGUCGCGUCAGGAGUGAAAACUCGGGGCUUAACCCCGAGCCUGCUUUUGAUACGGGCGGACUAGAGGGAUGCAGGGGAGAACGGAAUUCCUGGUGGAGCGGUGGAAUGCGCAGAUAUCAGGAGGAACACCGGUGGCGAAGGCGGUUCUCUGGGCAUCACCUGACGCUGAGAAGCGAAAGCGUGGGGAGCAAACAGGCUUAGAUACCCUGGUAGUCCACGCCGUAAACGGUGGGCACUAGGUGUGGGGGACAUUCCACGUUCUCCGUGCCGAAGCUAACGCAUUAAGUGCCCCGCCUGGGGAGUACGGCCGCAAGGCUAAAACUCAAAGGAAUUGACGGGGGCCCGCACAAGCGGCGGAGCAUGCGGAUUAAUUCGAUGCAACGCGAAGAACCUUACCUGGGUUUGACAUACACCGGAAAGCUGCAGAGAUGUAGCCCCCGCAAGGUCGGUGUACAGGUGGUGCAUGGCU